GAUCAUGGCUCAGGAUGAACGCUAGCGAUAGGCUUAACACAUGCAAGUCGAGGGGUAACAUGGAGAGAAGCUUGCUUCACUCUGAUGACGACCGGCGGAUGGGUGAGUAACGCGUAUGCAACUUGCCUCUUAGUGGGGGAUAACCCGGAGAAAUCCGGACUAAUACCGCAUAUUCUUAAUUUCUCGCAUGAGUUAUUAAGGAAAGAUUUAUUGCUAAGAGAUAGGCAUGCG
Molecule: ribosomal RNA, 231 nt
Filed under: uncultured bacterium
Lineage: Bacteria
Description: partial 16S ribosomal RNA
Rfam family: Bacterial small subunit ribosomal RNA
Source: RNAcentral